RNAcentral lists this transfer RNA (68 nucleotides) under Menura novaehollandiae (superb lyrebird). RNAcentral describes it as "tRNA-Cys". RNAcentral also lists the same sequence under 1 other name. Lineage: Eukaryota; Metazoa; Chordata; Aves; Passeriformes; Menuridae. The record is from RNAcentral.
GGCUCUGUAGUGAAGUUCAUAUUGAGUUGCAAGCUCAUUGAUGUGCAUUAAAUUAUGCGCCAGGGUCU